GAUGAACGCUAGCUACAGGCUUAACACAUGCAAGUCGAGGGGCAUCAGGAAGAAAGCUUGCUUUCUUUGCUGGCGACCGGCGCACGGGUGAGUAACACGUAUCCAACCUGCCCUUUACUCGGGGAUAGCCUUUCGAAAGAAAGAUUAAUACCCGAUGGCAUAAUGAUUCCGCAUGGUUUCAUUAUUAAAGGAUUCCGGUAAAGGAUGGGGAUGCGUUCCAUUAGGUUGUUGGUGAGGUAACGGCUCACCAAGCCUUCGAUGGAUAGGGGUUCUGAGAGGAAGGUCCCCCACAUUGGAACUGAGACACGGUCCAAACUCCUACGGGAGGCAGCAGUGAGGAAUAUUGGUCAAUGGGCGCUAGCCUGAACCAGCCAAGUAGCGUGAAGGAUGAAGGCUCUAUGGGUCGUAAACUUCUUUUAUAUAAGAAUAAAGUGCAGUAUGUAUACUGUUUUGUAUGUAUUAUAUGAAUAAGGAUCGGCUAACUCCGUGCCAGCAGCCGCGGUAAUACGGAGGAUCCGAGCGUUAUCCGGAUUUAUUGGGUUUAAAGGGAGCGUAGGUGGACUGGUAAGUCAGUUGUGAAAGUUUGCGGCUCAACCGUAAAAUUGCAGUUGAUACUGUCAGUCUUGAGUACAGUAGAGGUGGGCGGAAUUCGUGGUGUAGCGGUGAAAUGCUUAGAUAUCACGAAGAACUCCGAUUGCGAAGGCAGCUCACUGGACUGCAACUGACACUGAUGCUCGAAAGUGUGGGUAUCAAACAGGAUUAGAUACCCUGGUAGUCCACACAGUAAACGAUGAAUACUCGCUGUUUGCGAUAUACAGUAAGCGGCCAAGCGAAAGCAUUAAGUAUUCCACCUGGGGAGUACGCCGGCAACGGUGAAACUCAAAGGAAUUGACGGGGGCCCGCACAAGCGGAGGAACAUGUGGUUUAAUUCGAUGAUACGCGAGGAACCUUACCCGGGCUUAAAUUGCAGUGGAAUGAUGUGGAAACAUGUCAGUGAGCAAUCACCGCUGUGAAGGUGCUGCAUGGUUGCCGUCAGCUCGUGCCGUGAGGUGUCGGCUUAAGUGCCAUAACGAGCGCAACCCUUAUCUUUAGUUACUAACAGGUUAUGCUGAGGACUCUAGAGAGACUGCCGUCGUAAGAUGUGAGGAAGGUGGGGAUGACGUCAAAUCAGCACGGCCCUUACGUCCGGGGCUACACACGUGUUACAAUGGGGGGUACAGAAGGCAGCUAGCGGGUGACCGUAUGCUAAUCCCAAAAGCCUCUCUCAGUUCGGAUCGAAGUCUGCAACCCGACUUCGUGAAGCUGGAUUCGCUAGUAAUCGCGCAUCAGCCACGGCGCGGUGAAUACGUUCCCGGGCCUUGUACACACCGCCCGUCAAGCCAUGGGAGCCGGGGGUACCUGAAGUACGUAACCGCAAGGAUCGUCCUAGGGUAAAACUGGU
RNAcentral lists this ribosomal RNA (1441 nucleotides) under uncultured organism. RNAcentral's name for it is "SSU rRNA". It matches the Rfam family "Bacterial small subunit ribosomal RNA". The record is from RNAcentral.